This is an RNA transcript of Egretta garzetta (little egret), 4425 nucleotides long. It is a transcript of the gene named protein phosphatase methylesterase 1, with no coding region annotated. The transcript has 16 exons. NCBI's taxonomy places the organism in Eukaryota, Metazoa, Chordata, Aves, Pelecaniformes, Ardeidae. The record is from RefSeq and is a predicted model, not a curated record.
GAAAAUACCUGAAAGAAAACCCCUUUAAAAAUUGCUGCAGGUACAGUGUUCCAGACACAGUGGCACCAGUGCCUUGUGCAGUAGUAGUACAGACUGCUCCAAGCUGAGAUUUUCCUUCGAUGCCUGAGAAUCGUGGCACAACGGGAGUCACCGUGCUCUCGCUUCAGUGGAUGCAGUCAGCUGAUGAAACACCGGCUCUCCGGAGGCCGUGCAUCAUGGGACUGUGCACCCCGUCCUGCCCCGGACGAAAGCGUGAUUUUUCACCAGUGCUUUGGAGCCAGUACUUUGAAUCUAUGGAGGAUGUUGUGGUAGAAAACGAAACUGGCAAGGAUACUUUUCGAAUUUACAAAAGCGGAUUGGAGGGGCCAGUCUUACUGCUCUUACACGGUGGAGGCCAUUCUGCUCUUUCCUGGGCUGUAUUUACUUCUGCAAUCAUUAACAGGAUUCAGUGUAGGAUUGUGGCUUUAGAUCUGCGAGGCCACGGAGAAACAAAAGUGAGGAAUCCUGAAGAUCUGUCUGCAGAGACUAUGUCAAAAGACGUUGGGAACGUGGUUGAAGCUCUGUAUGGGGACCUCCCUCCCCCUAUCAUGCUGAUUGGGCACAGCAUGGGGGGUGCCAUCGCAGUCCACACGGCAGUCGCAAAUUUGGUGCCGAGUUUACUGGGCCUCUGCAUGAUCGAUGUCGUGGAAGGUACAGCCAUGGAUGCGUUGAACAGCAUGCAGAACUUCUUAAGGAGUCGUCCCAAAACUUUCAAGUCGCUUGAGAAUGCCAUUGAGUGGAGUGUGAAAAGUGGACAAAUAAGAAAUCUUGAAUCUGCCAGAGUUUCUAUGGUCGGCCAAGUCAAACAGUGCGAAGGGGCUGCCAGUCCUGAAUGUCCUAAAGCCAUAGUGGAGGGUAUUAUUGAAGAAGAGGAGGAGGAGGAAGAGGAGGAGGAAGGGGGAGGCUCUGUCAACAAAAGGAAGAAAGAAGAUGACACAGAGACAAAGAAGGAGCACUUAUACACGUGGCGAAUUGAACUGGCGAAAACAGAAAAGUACUGGGAUGGCUGGUUCAGGGGUUUAUCUAACCUCUUCCUGAGCUGUCCAACUCCAAAGCUUUUGCUUUUAGCUGGUGUUGACAGGCUGGAUAAAGAUCUAACAAUUGGACAGAUGCAAGGGAAGUUUCAGAUGCAGGUCCUCCCACAGUGUGGCCAUGCAGUUCAUGAAGAUGCUCCAGACAAGGUUGCUGAAGCUGUUGCGACGUUCCUGAUCCGUCACAGGUUUACAGAGCCCAUCGGUGGAUUCCAGUGUGUGUUUCCUGCUUGUUAAUACCCUGGUGUUCUCCAGCACUGAGUCCUGUUGUAAAUAAACUGCACCAGAGGCCACUGUGAUGUAUCCAUAUCCUUUCAUCUCUCCAGUUCAGCAGCAGUGAGAAGUUGGUGUGAGAUUCAUCCCCUAGAACUAGUUCUCCAGAAUGUGUAAAUGCUUAGGGACUUCCUUGCUGGGAAGCAGCUCGUACUGAAGACCAUGAAAAGCUCUUCAGGCCCUUGGAAGUGGGCUCCUCUCUGCUGCCACAAGGGAAGACCUCCUGAAAUCCCAAGUAGUCGACCAUACCGAUCUCCAUCAAUUCUCAGGCUUUCUUGGACCCAACUGCAAAAGAGGCCGUUGGCAGUCCAGGUCCACCGAGGGCAUUGCAGCAUAGCCAAAGGCGUCAGGAUUUCUCCAUGGAAUCGUCUAACUUUGAAGUGCCCCUUAGGUUUGUUUUUUAUAUACACGUUUCUUUCCCCUAAAGCAGACGAGGAAUCGGCUUCAUUGGGAGCUCAGGUUUCAUCUCACCAACGCCAGCCUUACGAGUUAAGCUGCGGGAACAGCCUAGAUGCUACUUUCCUGUGCAAAGUUGGACAGGACUGUAAAACAAAAAGGCGAGGGGGGACUGUGAGCUCCAUUCCAAGAGUCUUGCCGCUUUCUUAAUACUUGUUUCAAGUUCUCACUGAGAAAAGUAGCCUGGAUAACUCGUUCUGCUGCAGACACAUAACAGGCAGGGGACUCUGGGCCUGCGUUGAUGGGGAAGACUCAAGAGCAGCAGUAACAACGUGGUCUGCAGGCGGUUUGCCUGUUUGGCCGUUCUCUGUGCCUGGAAUGUGUUUAUGCUUCCCUUCUUGUAGCUGCUACACACAGCUGAGCAGAGAUCAGCGGCCUUUUGGAUGAAAAAAUGCAAAAAGUGCAGUAGAUAAGACCCUGGAAGAGCUUGGAGUCAGUCCUGCUGAUGUUGGUGCAGAGGUGUAGGGAGCUGCUGCUGCGUUACGCUCCCCCCAGUACUGGAGGAGACCUUGUUUUCACUGUCACGUCCUAGACCGUUUCGCUGCCUGCCUUCCAUAUUUCCAUGUAAAUGCAGUAGUUACACGGAGAGCUUUUCUUCAGGGUUAAAUUAUCCACAGACAGUUGGUCAGAUUGCUUGCACCUAAGAAUCACUCUUAAGCGGAAGAGCAGACACGGUUUGGAGCAGUUUUCCUCAACAUUUUGCGGGUGGAUGUCUGAAAUUUUUUAUUUUUUUUGCCUUGUGUCCAUAACCCCUUGAUGCUGUAUGACGGGACGCAGUAUCUUAACGCAGUUUUGCUGAGGCAGAGUUCUGUUGUCGGCCUGAUUUGGGAGCUGCGAUGUCCAGCUCUGCGUACGUCCUGUGACAAGAGCCAUCGUGAAUUCUUGGCAUUUGAGAGCUGCAGGUGGGGCAACGGGAGACGGUGUGAAGAGCUGGCAAAGCCUGGUUUAACUCUGGCGUUUACCCUGGUGGAGAGCCACUCAUCUCCUCUGAUUCAUUCGCCUGUGAGCCCUGGACUCGUGGCUUUGCUCUGCGUCCCUUCCCCGACGCAUCAGGGUGGAAAAUACCUGAAUUAGAGACAAGAAAGCCUCAUUCCAGAGAGCUCUCCUCUCUCCUGGCGCUUCGGCCAUCGGCACUCAGGCGUUAAAAGAGCGAUUGCUUGGCUCCCGGCGCUUCCCUCCGUAAGUCACCGUGUUAAUUAUUGCGUUAGUGUACCGUGACCUUGAUGUAACGUCCACCCCUGGUUUAGUUGCUGACAGAUUAAAUGGAUCUUCAGUAGUUGAGAUGCAAAAUAGCACUUUCCCCAGCUGUAUCCUGAAGAUUGGCAAAAUUCUCGCUCCUUUCCAGAUGACUCCCGUGUUCAGACUGUCAGAGACUCAAAUAACAGUGCGUGUCCAGAGCCUCACUUCAUGGAAUAGCAAAGCAUGUGCCUGUUGUCAUACUCAUGAAUGAUCUCGGUAAAGUCACAUUCCUCCGCGCUGAAGUAACUCGGAGGAUCUGGCUUUGAGUGAUUCGUUGCGGUAACUCCUUGCGUUUGCCUCUCACGUUAUCCCUUUCAUUUGCUUUUACAGUUUGCGAGAUAUUAAAAAAAAAAAAAAAAAAAAAAAAACCCCCCAUGGAAAGCAAAAGAAAAUCGGGUUUGUAUUCUGUAGAAGCACCAUUGGAAAAUGAAUGACUGUUCCUGAAUCCUGUGGGCUCCCCGGAAUUAUAUUUUGUUGUUAACAUUUGAGAAGUGAGUGAAAAAAUAAAUAUUUCAACAGCCUAUUUCAUGUGGCGUUGCUCCGUGCCAAGCUCUCAGGCCUGACUUGCACAGAGCAGGCGGCCGCUCGGGGACGCAUUUCGGGCCGGCUUCAAACAAAGGUGGCUGCAGGGACGGCGGCAAGGGCGGGUGGCUGGGUGGAAGGGGGAUUCCUUUUGGCUGUGUCGAGCCACAUACGUUUUUGAGACUGUACUUUUGUCUGAAAAGUAUUAACGCCCCCUGUUGCGGUUUCUUCUCCCUUUUCAGGGAGCUACAGGCAGAGAGAAAUGGUAUUUAGGUGAAGGAUAGCACAGCCCGUGGUAAAAGUCGCUGCGGAGAGAAGAAAUGUUCUCUUUGACUCAUGGAAAAAUGGGGAGAUCUGGAAAAUCCCCCCCAUAACUACCAGGUUCCCGCUGCAUUUUUCCACAGCCUGCAGCAUGGUACUGUCUCUGGAAAAGCAGAUAAAGAGGAGGAGAACGUCUGAGUUGAAAGGAUGCUGAUUUACGCCGGCGCUUUUGGUUAUUUAGAAACCUAUCUUGCUUUUGUUCCAGUCAUUGGAUUGAGGAUCAGUGGAAAACUUUCACAGUGGAAAAUCCCGAGGCUUGGCAGGAGCAGAAGACGCGGUUUGGGGAGGCUGGUUUAUUGCAGCCUUCGCUUCUUAAAUUUUUCAAAUCAGACCCAGGAUGGGUUUUGCCAGCUCUCAGCUUGUAAGCACCGGACAAAACCCUGGGUGACUUGUAGAUUCCAGGAGCAUUGAGAUUGUUGGGAAAAGCCUGCCCUGGUCCAGAUGGGAAGCGAGCGGGGAAGUGAUACCAAAGCCCGUUAAAAAUACCGAUGCCUGCUGCGACUGGAGGUCGCUUUCUGUGCAACCGAGACACCCUCUGAAAAAA